Molecule: ribosomal RNA, 250 nt
Filed under: uncultured bacterium
Lineage: Bacteria
Description: partial 16S ribosomal RNA
Rfam family: Bacterial small subunit ribosomal RNA
Source: RNAcentral
UACGUAGGGGGCGAGCGUUGUCCGGAUUUAUUGGGCGUAAAGGGCGUGUAGGCGGCUAUUUAAGUCGGGGGUGAAAAUCCAGGGCUCAACCCUGGGACUGCCUCCGAAACUGGGAAGCUUGAGUGCUCUAGAGGGUAGUGGAAUUCCCGGUGUAGCAGUGAAAUGCGUAGAGAUCGGGAGGAACACCAGUGGCGAAGGCGACUGCCUGGGGGGUAACUGACGCUGAGGCGCGAAAGCUGGGGGAGCAAAC